CAGAGCUGUUCCUGUGGAAGCCUCAUGUCCUGCACGUGUGCUCCAGAGGCAGAGGGAGACCAACCGGAGCCCCCUCCCUUUCUCAUUCCCACCUGUCAUUCCCAGCUGUGAAGACAGCAGAAACCGAACUCUGUGAGCUAGGCCAAUACCACAACUGAGAGGAAUAUUGUUCUACAUCUCAUUAUGCAUCUUUCAAACAUGUGUCUCUAUAUACUUCUUACAGAGGUGGUGAUAAUCUGUGUAUGCCUUACUGAAUUUUCACAAUUAUAUUACUGUACUUCCUUUGUCCCCU
Molecule: long non-coding RNA, 292 nt
Filed under: Homo sapiens (human)
Lineage: Eukaryota; Metazoa; Chordata; Mammalia; Primates; Hominidae
Description: non-protein coding lnc-AMPH-3:1
Source: RNAcentral